This 459-nucleotide ribosomal RNA is filed under the name uncultured bacterium. RNAcentral describes it as "partial 16S ribosomal RNA". It matches the Rfam family "Bacterial small subunit ribosomal RNA", at positions 338 to 795 of the family's 1533-position model. The record is from RNAcentral.
CCUACGGGUGGCAGCAGUGAGGAAUAUUGGUCAAUGGCCGAGAGGCUGAACCAGCCAAGUCGCGUGAGGGAAGAAUGUCCUAUGGAUUGUAAACCUCUUUUGUCAGGGAGCAAAGUCACCCACGUGUGGGUGUUGGAGAGUACCUGAAGAAAAAGCAUCGGCUAACUCCGUGCCAGCAGCCGCGGUAAUACGGAGGAUGCGAGCGUUAUCCGGAUUUAUUGGGUUUAAAGGGUGCGUAGGCGGGUUAUCAAGUCAGCGGUAAAAUCGUGGAGCUCAACUCCAUCCAGCCGUUGAAACUGAUGAUCUUGAGUGGGCGAGAAGUAUGCGGAAUGCGUGGUGUAGCGGUGAAAUGCUUAGAUAUAACUUAGAACCCCGAUAGCGAAGGCAGCUUACCAGACUGUUACUGACGCUGAAGCACGAGAGCGUGGGUAGCGAACAGGAUUAGAUACCCUAGUAGUC